GACGAACGCUGGCGGCGUGCUUAACACAUGCAAGUCGAGCGAGAGAAAUUCCUUCGGGAAGGACUCUAGCGGCGGACGGGUGAGUAACACGUGGGUAACUUGCCUCAUGGAGGGGAAUAGCCUUUCGAAAGGAAGAUUAAUACCGCAUAAGAUUGUAGUAUCGCAUGAUGCAGCAAUUAAAGGAGUAAUCCGCUAUGAGAUGGACCCGCGUCGCAUUAGCUAGUUGGUGAGGUAACGGCUCACCAAGGCGACGAUGCGUAGCCGACCUGGGAGGGUGAUCGGCCAGAUUGGGACUGAGACACGGCCCAGACUCCUACGGGAGGCAGCAGUGGGGAAUAUUGCACAAUGGGGGAAACCCUGAUGCAGCAACGCCGCGUGAGUGAUGACGGUCUUCGGAUUGUAAAACUCUGUCUUCAGGGACGAUAAUGACGGUACCUGAGGAGGAAGCCACGGCUAACUACGUGCCAGCCGCCGCCGUAA
RNAcentral lists this ribosomal RNA (480 nucleotides) under uncultured bacterium. Its description in RNAcentral is "partial 16S ribosomal RNA". It matches the Rfam family "Bacterial small subunit ribosomal RNA", at positions 28 to 523 of the family's 1533-position model. The record is from RNAcentral.